This 406-nucleotide ribosomal RNA is filed under the name uncultured bacterium. RNAcentral's name for it is "partial 16S ribosomal RNA". It matches the Rfam family "Bacterial small subunit ribosomal RNA", at positions 28 to 526 of the family's 1533-position model. The record is from RNAcentral.
GAUGAACGCUGGCGGCGGGCCUAAUACAUGCAAGUCGAGCGAGCGGCGGACGGGUAAGUCAAACGUGGAAACCUACCUAUAAGACUGGGAUAACCUCGGGGAACCGGAGCUAAUACCGGAUACUUAUAGAUGGAUCCGCGAUGCAUUAGUGAGUUGGUAAGACAACGGCUUACCAAGGCAAGGCUGCGUGGCCGAACUGAGAGGUGGGUCUGCCACACUGGAACUGAGACACGGUCCAGACUCCUACGGGAGGCAGCAGUGGGGAAUAUUGCACAAUGGGCGCAAGCCUGAUGCAGCCAUGCCGCGUGUGUGAAGAAGGCCUUCGGGUUGUAAAGCACUUUCAGCGAGGAGGCGUUACUCGCAGAAGAAGCACCGGCUAACUCCGUGCCAGCAGCCGCGGUAAUUC